This 250-nucleotide ribosomal RNA is filed under the name uncultured bacterium. Its description in RNAcentral is "partial 16S ribosomal RNA". It matches the Rfam family "Bacterial small subunit ribosomal RNA", at positions 355 to 615 of the family's 1533-position model. The record is from RNAcentral.
UCGAGAAUCUUCGGCAAUGGGCGCAAGCCUGACCGAGCGACGCUGCGUGUGGGAUGAAGGCCCUUGGGUUGUAAACCACUGUCAGAGGGGAUGAAAGCGUAAGCUUGACAGAGCCUCAGAGGAAGCGCGGGCUAAGUUCGUGCCAGCAGCCGCGGUAAUACGAACUGCGCGAACGUUAUUCGGAAUCACUGGGCUUACAGGGUGCGUAGGCGGCCUUUCAGGUCCGAUGUGAAAUCCCCCAGCUCAACUG